RNAcentral lists this ribosomal RNA (466 nucleotides) under uncultured bacterium. RNAcentral's name for it is "partial 16S ribosomal RNA". It matches the Rfam family "Bacterial small subunit ribosomal RNA", at positions 28 to 507 of the family's 1533-position model. The record is from RNAcentral.
GAUGAACGCUGGCGGCGUGCUUAACACAUGCAAGUCGAACGAUGAAGCCCAGCUUGCUGGGUGGAUUAGUGGCGAACGGGUGAGUAACACGUGAGUAACCUGCCCUUAACUCUGGGAUAAGCCUGGGAAACUGGGUCUAAUACCGGAUAGGAGCGCCUACCGCAUGGUGGGUGUUGGAAAGAUUUAUCGGUUUUGGAUGGACUUGCGGCCUAUCAGCUUGUUGGUGAGGUAAUGGCUCACCAAGGCGAAGACGGGUAGCCGGCCUGAGAGGGUGACCAGCCACACUGGGACUGAGACACGGCCCAGACUCCUACGGGAGACAGCAGUGGGGAGUAUUGCACAAUGGGCGAAAGCCUGAUGCAGCGACGCCGCGUGAGGGAUGACGGCCUUCGGGUUGUAAACCGCUUUCGGUAGGGAAGAAGCGAAAGUGACGGUACCUGCAGAAGAAGCACCGGCUAACUACGUG